CUAUGAUGACUCUAGAUGACGAGUCUUAUCCGGGCUUCCCGAUGCAGACAACCUUUUAAACUACCAUUCAUGCUUUUCUGAUA
RNAcentral lists this small nucleolar RNA (83 nucleotides) under Madurella mycetomatis. The record is from RNAcentral. Lineage: Eukaryota; Fungi; Ascomycota; Sordariomycetes; Sordariales.